Molecule: ribosomal RNA, 429 nt
Filed under: Acidobacteriota bacterium
Lineage: Bacteria; Pseudomonadati; Acidobacteriota
Description: Acidobacteria bacterium partial 16S ribosomal RNA
Rfam family: Bacterial small subunit ribosomal RNA
Source: RNAcentral
UGGGGAAUUUUGGACAAUGGGGGAAACCCUGAUCCAGCCAUCCCGCGUGUGCGAUGAAGGCCUUCGGGUUGUAAAGCACUUUUGGCAGGAAAGAAACGUCAUGGGUUAAUACCCCGUGAAACUGACGGUACCUGCAGAAUAAGCACCGGCUAACUACGUGCCAGCAGCCGCGGUAAUACGUAGGGUGCAAGCGUUAAUCGGAAUUACUGGGCGUAAAGCGUGCGCAGGCGGUUCGGAAAGAAAGAUGUGAAAUCCCAGAGCUCAACUUUGGAACUGCAUUUUUAACUACCGGGCUAGAGUGUGUCAGAGGGAGGUGGAAUUCCGCGUGUAGAAGUGAAAUGCGUAGAUAUGAGGAGGAACACCGAUGGCGAAGGCAGCCUCCUGGGAUAACACUGACGCUCAUGCACGAAAGCGUGGGGAGCAAACAGG